GUGAAUCAUCGAAUCUUUGAACGCAAAUUGCGCUUCCUGGCAUCCCGGGAAGUAUGCCUGUUUGAGGGUCAGUAUUAAUAAAAAUCGGUUUAGUUUCCAAUUUUUUAGUUUCCGGACUGUGGGCUAUCUUAACAAUUUUGGUUAAGAGGGUUAAAAGUGGCCUUUUUUGUGCAUUUUUAAAAGUACAUAAUUUUUUUCUAUUCGCCUAUUCUUAAUGCCGAAA
Molecule: unclassified non-coding RNA, 223 nt
Filed under: Glomeraceae sp.
Lineage: Eukaryota; Fungi; Glomeromycota; Glomeromycetes; Glomerales; Glomeraceae
Description: partial contains 5.8S ribosomal RNA and internal transcribed spacer 2
Rfam family: 5.8S ribosomal RNA (bases 1-71)
Source: RNAcentral